Molecule: ribosomal RNA, 433 nt
Filed under: uncultured bacterium
Lineage: Bacteria
Description: partial 16S ribosomal RNA
Rfam family: Bacterial small subunit ribosomal RNA
Source: RNAcentral
AACGAACGCUGGCGGCAUGCCUAACACAUGCAAGUCGAACGAGACCUUCGGGUCUAUUGGCGCACGGGUGCGUAACGCGUGGGAAUCUGCCCUUCGGUUGGGAAUAACUGAGAGAAAUUUCAGCUAAUACCUUAUAAUUUCUUCGUACCAAAGAUUUAUCGCCGAGGGAUGAGCCCGCGUAGGAUUAGGUAGUUGGUGGGGUAAUGGCAUACCAAGCCGAAGAUACUUAGCUGGUCUGAGAGGAUGAUCAGGCACAAUGGGACUGCGACACGGACCAGACUGGUACGGGAGGCAGCAGUGGGGAAUAUUGGACAAUCGGCGAAAGUGUGAUACAGCAAUGCCGCGUGAGUGAUGCAGGCCUUAGGGAUGUAAAGCUCUUUUACCCGGGAUGAUAAUGACAGUACCGGGAGAAUAAGCUCCGGCUAACUCCGUG